RNAcentral lists this ribosomal RNA (253 nucleotides) under uncultured bacterium. RNAcentral describes it as "partial 16S ribosomal RNA". It matches the Rfam family "Bacterial small subunit ribosomal RNA", at positions 524 to 776 of the family's 1533-position model. The record is from RNAcentral.
UACGAAGGGGGCUAGCGUUGCUCGGAAUCACUGGGCGUAAAGGGUGCGUAGGCGGGUUCUUAAGUCAGAGGUGAAAUCCUGGAGCUCAACUCCAGAACUGCCUUCGAUACUGGGAGUCUCGAGUUCGGGAGAGGUGAGUGGAACUGCGAGUGUAGAGGUGAAAUUCGUAGAUAUUCGCAAGAACACCAGUGGCGAAGGCGGCUCACUGGCCCGAUACUGACGCUGAGGUGCGAAAGCGUGGGGAGCAAACAGG